Molecule: long non-coding RNA, 744 nt
Filed under: Camarhynchus parvulus
Lineage: Eukaryota; Metazoa; Chordata; Aves; Passeriformes; Thraupidae
Description: lncRNA (ENSCPVG00000001776.2)
Source: RNAcentral
AUGUUUUUAACAGAUACUGAAGCCUAUUUUCUAUUAUUUUUGCAGGAGGAUGUACUUCUGUUCCACAGCCCAUCCUUUAGUAGAAGGACUGCAAGCCUACUGGUGCUGACAGCAGAUGGCUCAGAAUAUUCUCACAGGAAAGUGUGAAGUAACUGGAGAGAUGGGAUAAUUGCAUUUGUGCUGUUGGCCCUGAAGUCCAGAGCUGUUACAGGCUGUGAAGGAGCACAAAGAGAAGAGUUGACCACGAUGGAUGUGCAGCAGUAACAAGGUGAAAUUGCAUUGCCCUUUCCACAGAACUGAUAGCCUGUUAAAUAUUCCACUGUAAACAGGAGUAAAUGAACAGGCAGAGGUUCCUCAGAUGUCUGGCAAAAAUGUUCUUAAUUCAGUUGUAUAGCCAGGGUUGAACAAGUGGUGCAAAGCUGAGAACUGUCUUGCACUCCAUUUGUUUAUUUUUAAAAGUUUGUGCUUCCUCCCAUUUUUCUUGGCCAUUCUGUUGAAUAUAUUCAACAAGGAAAUAGGAACUGUGUAUAACUGGAAGCAUUUCCAGAUGGGUUCUGUGCUACAACAGGGAAUACAAUCUGUGCGACAUACAUAAUAUAUGGAAACAAAGGCUACACACCUAAGGCUUGAAAGUACAUUGAGCAUAGUAAAUCUGAAAUGAAUCCACACCUGAAGGAGUAGAAUGCACUCAUCAGCAGCACAUAUGGCUGCUAGUGCCUUCCUCAAAUAAAAUUUUCAAGGAGG